UACGGGGGGGGCAAGCGUUGUUCGGAAUUACUGGGCGUAAAGCGUGCGUAGGCGGGUUGACAAGUCUUUUGUUAAAGCCCACGGCUCAACCGCGGAAUUGCGGUAGAAACUGUCUGUCUUGAGUACGGGAGAGGAGGGGGGAAUUCCCAGUGUAGCGGUGAAAUGCGUAGAUAUUGGGAAGAACACCGGUGGCGAAGGCGGCUAUCUGGGCCGGUACUGACACUGAGGGGCGAAAGCUAGGGGAGCAAACGGG
Molecule: ribosomal RNA, 253 nt
Filed under: uncultured bacterium
Lineage: Bacteria
Description: partial 16S ribosomal RNA
Rfam family: Bacterial small subunit ribosomal RNA
Source: RNAcentral